RNAcentral lists this unclassified non-coding RNA (225 nucleotides) under Hevea brasiliensis (rubber tree). The record is from RNAcentral. Lineage: Eukaryota; Viridiplantae; Streptophyta; Magnoliopsida; Malpighiales; Euphorbiaceae.
CAGCUACUUUCCUCUGUGGUUCCUGAUACCAGGAAUUUAGAUGUAGAUGGUGAAGAUCGAAGGUUGCUUGUCAUCCCAAACCGGAACAAGGAUGACUCUACCAGAGGUCAAUAUGAAAGUUUUAACUUAGCUCUGUGGAAGCUGAGGGAUCAGGUUCUAUCCAUGAAUGGUGCAUCGUUUUCCAGAACUGUUUCGGAACGCGAUUGGUUAAAAAACUCCGUGAAG